This is a long non-coding RNA of Cercocebus atys (sooty mangabey), 6064 nucleotides long. RefSeq lists it as uncharacterized. The transcript has 2 exons. The record is from RefSeq and is a predicted model, not a curated record. Lineage: Eukaryota; Metazoa; Chordata; Mammalia; Primates; Cercopithecidae.
CUUCCCCAGCCAUGUGGAACUGUGAGUCAAUUAAACCUCUUUUCUUUAUAAAUUACCCAGUAUCAGGUAUUUCUUCCUCACAGUGUGAAAACGGACCAAUACAAACUUCAUGCUGGAAAGACCAGUAUAAAUCAUUUUCUCCACUCCCAGUCCUUGACAAAAGUACUGUCCAUAGCAUCUCUGAAGAGUGGUCAUCCAGUCUCUUUCCUUCCAGUCACAAAAUGCUAGAGAUCGCUCAUGUGUCCACCUUCCUUUUAACUAAAGGUUAAGUCCCACAUAUGGCACUAGCCACUGUUCCAAACAUAAUUUUAUUUGACAUUCACAAAACCCCUAUAAAUACUAUUAUAGCUGCUUUACAUAAUGAAUAAACUGGAAACCCUCUUUAUUUCUCCUGGUGAGUUCUGCCCAGUGAACACACAUAACACCAGUCUGACUUCCCUUUCACCCCAAACCCUCAGUGCUGUCAGUCUGAAUCCAGUAGCGCCUUUUGGCACCAGAUUUGUGCUCUUAGCACAACUUGAUGAGGAGAUUGCUCAAUCUCCUGUGAAAGUGUGAUCCAUUGCCUAACAGCUGAAAGUGUCUCCUCCAUUACUGGAAUCAGCUGCCCAGCACUGGGAUUACUGGAAAGAGCUGUUGUGAUGGGAACACUUGAUCACAUAUGUAAAUUUUCUGGCGUCUUCUGAAAGGGACAGUGGGCUGCAUCUGAUAAAGACAUGGAUCCAGAAACAGUGUAAUGAGAAUGAGAAUGGCGGGGCGGGAUCCUGAGGUGGGAUGUUUGGAGCAAUGGUCUUGAGGUCAGGAAAGUAGAAAGGAGGAACUUUUUCACUAGAAGGGAGAAACAAGGAGAGGAAGUGGACUUUUACUAACAUUCCAGACUGAGUAUAAACCUGGGGAGCAUGUCCAGCUGGCUGGAGAACCUGGUAGAGAACAGGAGCCCUGAGCUUGAGUUCCUUCCCCAACUCCACAGAUGAUUCCUUUGGGAACGUCACCCUCUUUACCGAAGCCUCGUUUCUCCCACUUGUGCUUAUGAAUUUGGAUACAACGUGUGCCGCCUCCGUUACUGGAAUCAGCUGCCCAUUGAUGGGAAGCCUUAAAGGAAUUCCAUUUGCUGCUUCAAUUCUGACCUCACAGACAUCAUUAUAGAAUCAUUUUGGAUACUCAAGAGAUUACAAUGCUCCAAAAAAUUGCUGUUCUCAGAGCUCCUGGAAACACAAAGGUUUGAUUUCAGUGUUACUAAGAGUCCUUUAAUCUGAUUAACCGAUUAUUUGUAUAUAGUUUGGAAGAAGGGGAAGUUCUGAUUUCUGUAUCUUGUCAGAACUCUCCCUUCUUCCAAACUAUUUAUAAGUAAGUCCUAUCCAGGCAGAAAACAAGAAGUGGCAGGAAGCUAACUGACGUAUAGGUGCUCUAGUCUAAAUGACAAGGUUUAGAGCCACACAGCCUUACAUUCCAGUCAUCUGACCAGCUCUGUGUUCCUGGGUAACUCCCUUAAGCCCUCUGUGCCUUCAUUUCCUCAUACACACACACACACACACACAUAUAUUUAAUAAGAAAGAAGAAAUCUGUUCAUUAGGCUGAAAUUUGGGUUGGAAAUGGAAGAAGGAACUAGAAGUUAGCCAACACAGAAGAUUCAGAUGGACUUGAGAAUUUUCUUCAAAUACUUAAAAGGCUGCCAAGUGGAAGAUGUAUCAGCUGUCUUCUCUAUGGACCAAUGAAAACAUGUUGUAAGGAAAUAGACUUCUGUCCAAAAAGUAACUUUUUAACCUUUAGAGAUUUCAACACAAGGAAAAGCUGCCUUGAGAGCUAGUAAAUUUCCCAUCAUUAGAAUUACACUUAUUUAAAAAGAAAAAAAAAUGGUUCAUCCAUUGCAAAAUCAUUUUGCAAACCCCAUUGCAAAAAAAAAAAAAAGUAUUUUUGAAAAAUGAGUAAAUAGCCUUCUGUUUGUAUCUUUUGUAAAUUGCUCACGCGGUUACUUGGCACAAAAUGAAAGCAGACCUCCAUAUUCCAAGACCGACCCAUAGAAAGGGAACCAAAUGGCACGUGUGAUGAGUUUGAAGGGCCUUUGUAUGUACUGUUCAGUGAGCCUCUGCCAUCCUCAGAUCUGUGUGUCAGCCCUGCACUGAUGCACGUCCCUUCCUGAUUUUCUACUGUCAAUUGUACUACAUGAAAUAAUCCAUGGUCCACAACAUCCACUCUACAGUUCGGUUUUACUGACCGAAGGAAUAUGUCUGCAACACCCCUAUCUCUCAAGCACAUUAUCAUCAGGUACUUUUUCAGAAGGGGAGGUGGCAAAUUACUCCAAACUGCAAGAAUUUCUAUAAGUACACUAACAUUCCUUAGUUUUUAAAGGGCAUCUUUUUUUUAUUUUUCUUUUAAGUUGUCAUUUGAAUUCAAACUCUUUGGAAAACAUGCAUAAUAAUCUUAAUGAUCCCAUUGACUAGUUUAAAUUCAAAUUGUGAAGCAUUUGAAAUACCAUGCUGGCAGCACUUUCCAUAAAUUACUCUCAAAUUCAAUAGAUCGCUACACACACAAACACACACACUUUUAUAAGUAUCACACUCAAAAAUCUUUAAAUUACAGUUUCUCAUUGCUUGUCCCAUUUAUAUUGUUAUUUGGUGGAUAAACUAGAGCUGUUGUGUCUGCUUACAAAUUUCUGUAUUAUUUUUCAAGAAAAUAAUUUAGUAGCAGUCAUAAAUUUUUAUAUCUCCUCAGGGUAAAUAGAACUUUGUUGCAGGGUUCCUGGCUUUGGUGUGAGUAUGUGUUUGUUUGUAUGUGCACAUGGGUGGUUGGCAAAUCAAGCCUGAUUUUCUCAUUUGCCUAAAAUUCACUCUGUACACUGGCAUUUUUAGGGAAUUUCCUCACUUACCUCCCGAUUUACUAGGUACACUAGCAAUUUUAGGAAAUGCUGCAAGACUGAACCAAAAAAGAUCAUUUCUGCUAGAAAGUCUAUUUACCUACGAUCUUUAUAAUGAGAUCCUAUCUACAGCAGGUUUGGAUCAAUUACACCUCCAGAAUGUAAUGAUUAAAGGAAAGAAAUAUCUUUUAGACCUAUGAGAGAAAAGACCCUAUUUUCACUUUAUUCCUAGUAUCUUUCAGAAGUAAAAUUUGUUCACAAAGCUUGCCAGCAAAAUUUCAGCAACCAGGAACUGUAUAUAAAUGAGCUGGGAAAUAUUCCAUUUGUAAUAUAAGACCAAAAUAAAGCAAUACAGAAUGCAGGCAUCCUGCAGCAGAAUUCCAAGCUUGUGCAAUUCACAAAUUUAAUCAUAACUUCCCUAUGAGAAAAAAAAAUUUCUCCAUUAUUUUGAAAACAUGGGUGUUCUUUGCUACUGAACUGUACCUGAAAUUCAUCUUCUUCCAGUGGAAAACAGUUGGAAUAUUUGAUUCCACUUGAAACAUCAAUGAAAUAGUAAAAAUAAGAUACUUGGAAAUAAUGGGGAUUUUUGAGGCUGAUUAAAAACUAUUUUGGUGUGUUAACAGCCCUUAUUUAAAGUUACAAUUCAUUGACUUCGGAAAAGGACAAUCUGUACAAGCACAACUCUCUAAAUUGCAAAUCGUAGUUGAGUACUAGCUGGCUAAAAUAGAAUAUCAUUACAGUUUUAAGUAAGUUCGUAUUUAGAAACUAUCUUACUAAAAAGAUAUUUAUUUUACUUAAGAAUGAUUUCUGAAAGGCUAACUCAAAUGUAUAAAUAAAAAUCUAUUAUAUCCAAGGGCCAACAGAAAAUCUCUCCAGUGUUCUGGAUGUCAGAGAGAAAAAAUCACCAGUAUCAUCAUCAACAAAUAUUAACAGAAUGCCAGUGGAGUGUGAGGACUGUGCAAGGAGCCUCGGGGGAUGCAGAGAGACAAAAGACAUGCCAAGACACUCAUAAUCUAUGUAAAAAGACAGGACCCUGACAUGCUUAGAUAAACAGUAGCAAAAUUAGCCCCUCAAUCUUUUGCUACCCUGUCCAUCCAAUCUCCAAAGACAGUGCAUCGACCCAUUAUGGCACUUAGAAUAAUUCUCAUUUAUCUGUUUGGCUUUCUAUCUCUUCAAGCAGUGUUUCCCAGAUACUGAUGAUUCUCUCUUUUGCAAUUUCAUACCCCCAAUGCCCACUACAAUAUUUGAAAUACAGAUGAUGCUCAGUAAAUAUUUAUUGAAUGGAUUUCAAUGACUGAAGGCCAUUUAGGCAGGCAACUUAGAUGCAGAGGUUAAAACAAACAAGCAAACAAACAAAAACCUAGAUGCAUAGUUAGAAAAUGGAUGUCAGAACCCUGUUUUAGUUUCUUGGCUAUAUGGGCUACCUUCUCUGGGCCUCAGUUCUCUCAUAUCUAAUCUAGAAAUAACACUUGCCUUGUAGGAUUAUUGUGAACAUCAAAUGGAAAACAACUAUAAAAGUAUUCUGGGUACACGCAUUUAAGUAUAAGGUAUUAUUAUGCUAAAUGAUUGGUACAGGUGGUAAAUGCUAAAGGAUGUGUAAUUAACAUAGCUGGAAAGCAGGUACAUAAUUAAGUGAAGUUGCUUAAUACCAUCCAAUGGUAACUCAGCGAAUUGGGAGUUGUUAUUCUUUCCUGAAAAUGUCUGAUCAUUCUGUCCCAUGUGAAUGUACCAUAAAUAUCAAAUAAUAAACUGAUUGUUAUAUGAUUUAGGAAAUUCACAUGGCUCCUUUUUAAUCUAGAAAACUACCGUCUUACAGGGUUCCAGUUGACUCAUCUGCAAAAAGAGGAGCUUGGGUUGGAGAAUCUUCAGUUUCUUCCAGUUUAAAUGGCACGAGAAUUGACUUCCACUCAAUUCUACCAGUCAAAUGAACUCAAACUGGCCAGCAGUACUUAGUGCUUCUUUCAUAGCUUUUAAGGAUCCACCUUAUCAGAAUAGGAGAGGCAGCACUAACGUGGCUUUUCCAUUGGCUGUGUUUUCUUGUAGCUUCAAAACAAAGGAAUUUUGGCCUUUAUAUUGAAUUCCAUUAAGAUGCCAUCAGAGGAAGAUGACGAGUCUAAGACUAUUUGAUACUUUUGGAAAAAAGCCUGUUAUCUUGAAGGUAUUUUUUACCUCUCCCAACCCCAAAUUUUCUGCAGAAUAAUGCACAUAUAAUGAAUGCUCAACAAAUCCUUACUGAACCAGAGGCUGAUUUCUUUUCGUUUGAUCCUAGCAGCUAUACUAGAAUUCAACAUAAAAAAAUGUUUAGAGAUUGGAACUGUUCUCUUUCAUUCUUUCCCCCUUAUCCAUUCCUACUCUACUUUCAAGGCUUUGCUCAAAUGCUGUAUCCUCUGGGAGGUCCUUCUCGAUGCCGAUCCCCUCCUCAGGCCACCGCAGGAUGCGGCACGGCCUUUCCUCUGAGCUCUCACAAUUGCCCGAAUCUCUCACAGAUAAGUUGAAUUACUUUGCCUUGUGUUAUAUUUGUUCAUAUGUCUGACACUUCUCAUUCACCUCAGGGCUCCACGAGAGCAUGAACUAGUCUCACACUGCAUUGUAUCCCCCAUAACACUGAGCACAGUCCUUUGCACACAGAAGGUGCUCAUUCAAUGUCUCUUACCACUGGCAAAGAAUUCACUUUUCAGUUAAAAAUAUUCAAGGGACAUGUGUUUAAACACUCACUUUUCCCAAGGAAGUGGAGACAGUCAUCUCCUCCCUUUCCUAAAUCCCCCUUUAUAGGAACUCAGAAACACCCUCGAGAAAAAUCUGACAGCCCAAUUUCACAAAAACAAUCUUCUUCCUUUUCUUUUACUUUGAACUUAAUUAACGGUAAUGCUUAACCUGUCACUGCUUAAUUACAUUGGCAAGUUGGUGGGGUUUAUCGAUCUGUGCAUGAGGAGUUAAUUCCAGAAGAGACUUUGACAAAAAGCACUUUAUGGGAGAACAUAUCGUUAUUUCAGCAGCUUUGCUGGAGUAACCUGCAGACACUGCCCAGCCAGACUCAGGCCAGUUUGGCUUCCUGCCACUUGUGCCAAUUUCCUAAUGAUCUAAUAGGAAUGUAUAAUAACCCUCUAAAAAAACAAGUCUUCCUCUCUUUUUCUCUGGUCUUAAAAAUGAGACGACAUCUAGCAGGUUAAAUGUAUCCUUAAAGGAAAAUGCACCUGAGUUGUACAAUGUCUU